Long non-coding RNA from Sapajus apella (tufted capuchin), 1031 nucleotides. RefSeq lists it as uncharacterized. The record is from RefSeq and is a predicted model, not a curated record. Lineage: Eukaryota; Metazoa; Chordata; Mammalia; Primates; Cebidae. The transcript is spliced from 2 exons.
AUCAAUUAAAUCUUUUUCCUUUAUAAAUUACUCAGACUUGGAUAUUUCUUUAUUAACAGCAUGAGAAUGGUCUAAUACCAUAUUAUUUGCCUAGAGAUAACCAGGAUUUGUAUAAUUCCUAGCACUUUUCUGUUACUUCACCACCUCUUUUCCACUGAAGAAGGCAAACUGGAAUACACUUGACAGAGAGUAAUAUUACAGGACUAACUAAAUCAACUCUUAUUUAUUUAAAAGUACUUAUAAAUAGAUUUGGUAUUAGUUAUAAAUAGCUUGCAGCUCACCUUGUAAUAGAUCAUGACACAGAACUAUGUGUUGUUGACAGCAGUUAAGAACCAAUGUUGAAGAUGAUCCAGCAACACUGUAAAAUGGCUUGAAGUAGGGAAAUUCUGAGUAUCGUGAGAAAGAACAACUAAUAAGCAUUGCAUUAUCUUUAGCAAACUUUAGGUCUGAACUAGGGUUUACAAUGAAAGUAAUAAAGGAAAUAAAGUCUAUAGACAUGACAAUUUACUGGACACUGGCAGUGAGGAAGUAAAAAGAACCCAGGAUGUGUCUGAGAUUUAAAACUAGGGUAUCUCAUGCUAAGAGGAAUAAGAAUUGCUUUGAAUAAGAAAAGGAAAAAAGUUGAAUUAAGUUCAGGCUGUGGAAAUGUGGUCUGCUUUCUCAGAAUCCCAUAUUUAGAUUUGUGAAUCAUGUAUGAAUGGAAUGGUUUUUCUAAGACACUUCAAAUACAAGGAAGCACUCCGCAUUCUACUUGUGAACCCUCAUUUAAUUCUUAAUUAUUCAAGUGUUUAUUUAAUCCACAAGAUUAUUAAUAAUUAAAUUUUCAUUUGCAUGGUAGCUAUGUAUUUUAAGAAUGAAUACCUGAUUUGAGAAGCGAAUACAUGGAGCUUUUGUAGCUCAUUUUAGAGGAUAAUGCUUCCAACUUUUUGUAAGCCUCUUGUUUAUUGAUUACACAUUUAUUAAGUAGGAAAUAUUGUUUCCUUAUGCAUUGUAUGAGGGUGCUUUUUAUAUUCUUGUAAAAUAUUAAAACA